RNAcentral lists this RNase P RNA (174 nucleotides) under Salmonella enterica subsp. enterica serovar Enteritidis. RNAcentral's name for it is "partial RNase P RNA component class A". It matches the Rfam family "Bacterial RNase P class A", at positions 181 to 367 of the family's 367-position model. From Rfam's summary of the family: Ribonuclease P (RNase P) is a ubiquitous endoribonuclease, found in archaea, bacteria and eukarya as well as chloroplasts and mitochondria. The record is from RNAcentral. Lineage: Bacteria; Pseudomonadati; Pseudomonadota; Gammaproteobacteria; Enterobacterales; Enterobacteriaceae.
CGCGGCUGGUAACAGUCCGUGGCACGGUAAACUCCACCCGGAGCAAGGCCAAAUAGGGGUUCAUAAGGUACGGCCCGUACUGAACCCGGGUAGGCUGCUUGAGCCAGUGAGCGAUUGCUGGCCUAGAUGAAUGACUGUCCACGACAGAACCCGGCUUAUCGGUCAGUUUCACCU